Molecule: ribosomal RNA, 468 nt
Filed under: uncultured bacterium
Lineage: Bacteria
Description: partial 16S ribosomal RNA
Rfam family: Bacterial small subunit ribosomal RNA
Source: RNAcentral
GACGAACGCCGGCGGCGUGCUUAACACAUGCAAGUCGAACGGAAAGGCCCUGCUUUUGUGGGGUGCUCGAGUGGCGAACGGGUGAGUAACACGUGAGUAACCUGCCCUUGACUUUGGGAUAACUUCAGGAAACUGGGGCUAAUACCGGAUAGGAGCUCCUGCUGCAUGGUGGGGGUUGGAAAGUUUCGGCGGUUGGGGAUGGACUCGCGGCUUAUCAGCUUGUUGGUGGGGUAGUGGCUUACCAAGGCUUUGACGGGUAGCCGGCCUGAGGGGGUGACCGGCCACAUUGGGACUGAGAUACGGCCCAGACUCCUACGGGAGGCAGCAGUGGGGAAUAUUGCACAAUGGGCGGAAGCCUGAUGCAGCAACGCCGCGUGCGGGAUGACGGCCUUCGGGUUGUAAACCGCUUUCGCCUGUGACGAAGCGUGAGUGACGGUAAUGGGUAAAGAAGCACCGGCUAACUACGUG